This 136-nucleotide ribosomal RNA is filed under the name Aotus nancymaae (Ma's night monkey). The record is from RNAcentral. Lineage: Eukaryota; Metazoa; Chordata; Mammalia; Primates; Aotidae.
GUCUACGGCCAUACCACCCUGAACGCGCCCGAUCUCGUCAGAUCUCGGAAGCAAAGCAGGGUCGGGCCUAGUUAGUACUUGGAUAGGAGUUUAAUACUACUUAACACAGGAUCUCACAUUCUGGGCACUUGGGAUA